Molecule: ribosomal RNA, 157 nt
Filed under: uncultured bacterium
Lineage: Bacteria
Description: partial 16S ribosomal RNA
Rfam family: Bacterial small subunit ribosomal RNA
Source: RNAcentral
UGAGGAAUAUUGGUCAAUGGGCGGAAGCCUGAACCAGCCAAGUCGCGUGAGGGACGACGGUCCUACGGAUUGUAAACCUCUUUUGCCGGGGAGCAAUGCGCGGUACGCGUACCGCGACGGAGAGUACCCGGAGAAAAGCAUCGGCUAACUCCGUGCC